GCAACAGCAACAUCAACAGCAGCAGCAGCAGCAGCAACAUGACUUAGGAAACCAACUGUUGAAUGGACUUAGAGCAGCAAACAGCUUCAAUAACCUUCAGUAUGACUGGAAACCAUCUCAAUAAAGAUAGAACAUUACAAGUUCGACAACACGGCUGCUCUCAUUGGCCUCAUUGCUUAUGAAGCAUCAGUAAGAGUGCCAACACCUCGAACUGUGUCAAAGCAUUUGGCCUUUGCAAUAAUGCUGUCAUGGAAAAAGGUCAUUCGCGACAGCAAGCAUCUGAGCCUGUCAACUGUAUGUUGUAAUUGUUCGUUUAGCUGCUUGUGUGUUGUGCAACUAUGGCAUUUUGCUGCUUGCUUCAGUUGUCUUACCGAAAGAUAGAGUUAAAAGGAUUAGAGCCUUGCCUGCACCUGUUGCUAUCCUUUGAUGGUACGGUGUUACUUCUUACCCGGAAAAGAAGUUUUACCUCCCUUUUUUUCCAUGUCAGAUGACAUCCGAUAUGUAAUUUAUCGUCCCCUCCACCUUCCGCCCUUAGCAAGCAUAUGUUCUGAUAUCUUUCUUUGCCUGGGGAUUCUCUCUUUGUAGCCUUACUUGACUUUGUAUAAGCUGCCAUAAUUUAGUAGUGGAAAAAAGUAUCAGGAAUGUUUUCGUAGGCUUGUCGCGAGAUCUGACUGGCAAGAAAACUGGCAUUCUUUCUUUUUGAAAGAUUUCAACCAUUGUGGUGGAGAUUUUUCUUGAAAUAUUCAGGUUGACCUGCAUAUGUUGUCCAUCUUGUUUCUGUUGCAGCCAUAGAGUUGCUCGUUACAAUGAAACCCUGCAUAAGGCAAGGGACUUCCAUACUGUCAUUACAAUGAAGAUUAUCUGUGUGUAAAAUGCAAGAUUGGCCAGGCCAUGAUGUAUCUUGGCUGAUGGGUUUCAAGUGCUGAUGAAUUUUGCUGACAUGUAGUUGUUGCACCUCGUUUGGUUAAGAUAAAAUGUUGUCAAGUACGUAGUGAAUUAACAAAGUUAUAGGCAACAGUAUCAUCAUGAUCACAGUUAUAAAAACCGUGUUUUUGUUGGGGGUUUGGACCUGUGAAUCCUGCUUAUAUAUUUAUGACACUGGCUGUACGGCCAAUUUUUCUAGUAGAAAACCCACUAAAUCAAUAAUAAACAAGAGUUUGGUGGGUUUAAGCUACCCAGUUUUGCUGAUACUAUUGAUGGUGUAUCAGCAUUCAAGAUACAUCAAGAGCUUUCAGAAGAGUUUGGUGGAUGUAUGACCAGUUUUGCAAAUACCCGGUUUUAAAGUUUGAUGGUGUAUUUUAGACAAAGCGAAGAGUUAAGGGUCGUAAAUUGAAAUUAUCCCUCACCACCCACCACCUCACUGGCUAGGCGGAAUAAGUUCACUUCAUGACCCUCAACUGUGAUCGAAAUCUAAUCCAUGACCAUAAACCACAAAACCGGAUAUCUUGACCCUUAAACUCCUAAAACCGGUGCAAUUUGACUCCCUGGACAGUUUUGGGAGGCGGUUUUGCUGACAUGGCGCCACGUGGCACCUACGUGGCAAUAUUGACCGAGUCUUCGUUCCACAUGGCGUUGACGUGGCAUCUACGUGGCGGUGGAAAUAAAAAAUAUGCGUGGGCCCAUUAGUCAUUCACACAAAAAGAAAUGUGGGCCCACUGACAUGUGGGGCCCACAUGUCAGCCCUUCUUCCUCCAGCCUCUCUCUCCCUUCUCUCUUUCUCUCCCCUUCUUCCCCUUCAGCGGACGGCGGGCUGCGAGAACGAGCGGUGGCGGCGCGCAAUUGAGGGCCGUAGCGACGACGACAGGACGGGCGAGGGCAGGAGCAGCGAGCCGUGCAGCCACCGCCACCUUGACACAUCUCCCCGCCGUCGCGCCGCCGGCGCUCGCGGCGCCCAUCCACCGUCCACCUGCUGCCGCCGCCGCCGCAUGCGCCAGAGGGAGGCCUAGCACGCUCGCGGAUCCCUCCUCCUCCUCCUCGCCUCGCCCGACGACGACGCGGCUUGCAGCGAUGCAUCGCACGAUACGGCCACGCUGCCUCGACCCGACAGCGUGGCCCUCCGCCUCUCAUCCGCCUCCUUCUCCGGUGACGGCGCAGCGCGGCGCUGAGGCUGGGCGGCGACGCCCUGGAGGCGGCCUGGGCGGCGUUGGGUGGCCCGGCCAGGUGGCGCACGACGGAAGGGGAAGAGGCGACACGGGGAGGUGGCCGGCUCGGCCGUGCACGGAGGCGGCGCCCGCGCAGCAGACUUGGCUGUGCGUGGCGGCGGCGGUUCAGCGACGAGCUCGAGCUGGGCUCGGGUGUGGUGAUGACGAUGGCUUGGGCGGAUGAAGACGGCGGCGACGGCGGCUUCGAUGGUGGACGACGCCAAGGCACCGACAUUGGCGAGGUGGAGUCGGGGCUCCAUGUCGCCGGCGUGAGGAGAGAAAGAGAGAGAAGGGAGAGAGGGAUGAGGAAAAAGGGAAAAGAGAGGAUCACACGUGGGCCCCACAUUCCAGUGGGUCCCACAUUUUUUUUUGUGUGAAUGAUAAAUGGGUCCCACACAUAUUUUUAAAAUUUGAGUGCCACCUAACCGCCACGUCAGCGCCACGUGGAAGGAAUACCGGGUCAAUACCGCCAUGUAGGUGCCACGUCAACGCCACGUGGAACAAAGACUCGGUCAAUAUUGCCACGUAUGUGCCACGUGGCGCCAUGUCAGCAAAACCGCCUCCCAAAACCUCCCAGGGAGUCAGAUUGCACCGGUUUUAGAAGUUUGGGGGUCGAGAUAUCCGGUUUUGUGGUUUAGGGUCAUGGAUUAGAUUUCGAUCACAGUUAAGGGUCACGAAGUGAACUUAUUCCCUGGCUAGGCUAGCUGCGAGGAUUUGUUGGGCCAGGUCAGCGAAACAUAGGCCCAUCGAUCUGGUAGUUGGGCCGUGUGCAUAUUCAGCAUGCUGGCCCACACUGCACGCCCAAGCUUGGUAGGUCAAAGUAGAAGCUGGACCUAGAGCUUAGGUCAACUUAUUGUUAGUAUUGUAUUUAUAAGGCAUAUUUUAUUUUAGUUUUACAAAGUCAAAAUAUUCUUCAAGACCUCAACUUGGUAACCCGUCUGUGUUGAAAGGAAUAAGACCAAUUCGUAUGAACGAUGCCGAAAACUUAGGAUGAAAAUGGUCCAAAACGGUAUUGCUUUUUUAUUAUUUCUACGGAAACGGUUGAUUUUUUUUCAUAUUUAUAAACUUAACUCUUCAGUAUCAGCUUUAAUAUUGUGACGUUGACAGAAAUUAGAAAACUAAAAUUUUAAAAGAUAAUAGUCGAUAGAGAUAUUAUCAUUAUAUUACUUUUCUGUAAACAAUAUCCGUACAGUCGAUAAAGAAAUUAUCCGUAUGGUUGGAAAAUUUCUAUACCAUUUUCACCCCCACCCAAAAGGGUAGAGAACUGGGAUUUUGCAAGCACAAUCAUCUGGUUCAUGUUCAUACAUAUUAAACAAAUUCUGCCUAUCUUAAUCAACGCCUUUUUUUUGCCCAAAUGAAUUGUCCCUGUCAACUAAAAUCUGGUAAAUUAAUAAGUGCUCUGAAAUAUUGCAGCUUACUAUUCAUCAUUUAUAGAAAAGAAGUAGGACUAGCAUUUAGUCUCGUCAUGCGGGUCAAUGAAUUUGGGCUUAAUUUGAUCUUUGAACACAUGGGACCGAGUUGAAUCUUCAGAGAAAGAGAAACAAGAAUAUAUAGCAGUUGGAAAAAUACGGAGGACUAAUUCGUCAGUCAAGAUCGUUCUUCUGAACAUGGACUUUUUUUUAAUUAAUAUGCUGUUAGUUAAUUUGGUAGCAGCCGGCGUUGAUCCUCUGAACAAAUUAACAAACUGAACUUCUUAGGAUUCCUGGAAAGGAGAAACGAAAAAAAAAAAAGAAAAGGCAAAAGCACCAUGCGGUUUCAGUUGAUCUGUCGCUGUUCUUGAGGUACACGUUUGCAUAUAUGUUGUGGUGUCAGAUUAUUUUAUUAAAUUAAGAGGACCACAAAAGUUAAGAACCCUUACUAACUGCUGCUCUCUCCAUCUAAAAUACUGUUAGCUCGAAGCUUGUUCCACAAAGAAGCUCUCUCUAAGAUGGGUUUCACUACUUUCUAAUAAUAUUUCAAUUUAUUUUAUUAUUUUAGUUAUCGAAUCAAAAGGUAUUUCACCCUUCUCUUUGUUUUCUUCUCCUCUACUCCAUCCAUUAAAAAAAUAACUAACCUCGUAUUAGAAACUAUAUCCAGAUGUCACAUUCUAGUACGAGAUUAAUUUUUUUUCUAUGGGGAGUACGUUUCUUCUCCGCAUUAACGAAAGUCAUGAUAGUCUUUUAGUCUCUUAUGUAAUUUACCUUAUAACUAGCUAAAACAACGGUAUUUUAGAGACGGAGAGAAUUUAGAUAACAACCUUCUCUUUUUUUUCUUUUGCUUCCAUUUGCUUACCAGGAUUGUUGCUGUUGAUUAUUAGCUAGCUCUCUCCUAUUUUUGUGUGUUUCGUAGCAAACAAUGCUUGCCUGAUAUGUGUGCAUCAGUACAUGUGUGGAGCACAUCAUUUUCACUUAAUUAAUCAUAGAUGUAUGCUAUACUUACAGUAUAUAUUGGUGCAUGAUGCAUGUGCGUGUUUACUGUAUUUAAGACAAUCAAUGAAUAAUAGCUAGAUCAUAAUUGUGUGACUGUUGCUCGAAUAACUUUCGUCCUCGAUCGACUCAUCUAAAAGAGGCAAGCCUUUUGCAAGACACCAUAGCCCAUUUGUUUCGGUUCAUCUUAAUUUUUAACUUCCUCCUUCCUAUAAUAUAGCAAUCUAAAAUCAGAUAGUACGUAUCUUGCUGCUAAGAAUCUGGCUUGAUUCGUAAUACUAGAUUACGUCAUAUCCAAUCCUAUGUUGCUAUAUUAUGGGAAGUAGGGAGUACUUCUUUAUAAUUAUAUAUGUACAUUUUGGUCAGUCUAAUUUCCGUUCCUUAGUACAUACAAUUAGUUCAAAAUCGACUAUUAUGUUUCAGAAAAAAAAAAUCUAUGGUGUAUUUGGCAAAACUGAAAGUAACUAUCUCUUUGUGUGGAAAUGUAUCAACCUUUUUGAACCAAAUCUUCAACCUUUUGCAAUCAAACUAUACAAAAUACAACCGAUGCUUCACGUUGGGGCUUUUCUAUUGGCCCAAGUUCUCAAGAUACUUUGCAACUUUACUUGGUUAGCAAGGGACAAUAGAGUUGGCAUGUGGUUUUUUAUUAGCUCACAAUUAGAGCUAAUGAUCUACUCCAACAUUAGUUUUGUACCUGUGUACUACUCUACCUACCAACCAACAUAUGGCCUUAAUUUGCUUUUGGCACAAUUGACUCAUGCUACUCAUAUAUAUUCUAAACUAUAUUAUUAUUAAGGUUGAAAUCAGCAAUGACCUUUGUUGGUCGCUAGCCAUCAAAUGAAUGGAACCUUCCAAUGAAGAUCAAACUGGGGAUUCUGAAUAUAUCCAAUGAAAAGGAUAGCAAUCCAUCCAUUGAUGCAAUGAAGGAAGAGGUUAGUUGGUGAUUAUUUAACUAGAGGCUUAAGUUAAUCUAUGUACGAGUAAUCCAGAUUAAUUGGUGACAGUAACAUAGAGGCUUAGCAUCCAACCAACUCUGAUUAUUAUUAAAUUACGAUUCAUAAUAAUACAACAAGAGUACGUGGUACACCUGUAAGGCUUAGGAUGGAUGGAAUAUCAUGAUCUCAGCUUGCCUGUUCCAUGUGAGCAUAAUUCCUCCACCCAACUACAUUCAUGCACAUAUUAUAUGUGUGCUUGAGAAAUACUUCAAAAAAAUAUUAGCUAGGGCUCAUAAACAUGGAGCUCACUUGAUCCUUUUUUCUACAGAGAAGAACAUUAAUCAGCUACAGGAUGGCUCGAUCUGGUGGCAGAUCCUAUAGUUGUGGACCCAUAAAAAUUCUAGAGCACAAGCAAACUUAACUAUAUAUAGUAUAUUUGCUAUAAAGUUUUUAUUUUAUUUUCUUUAACUACAUAGAAUUUUAAUGAAUUAUUCGUCGACGAGCCUGGAUGGCCACCCAGGUUCACCGGGUGGGUGUCGAUGGAAGAGCCACCUCCUGAGCACCAUGGUUAGCUGCUAAAAACCGCUAUGGAAAAUUGUACAUAGCAAGUAAAACUUUCAUGCAAUACUCAAUCUUUGAGUAAUUUUUAGAAAAACUACAGACAUUUUGACUAAACUAUCACAAAAAUAUAGAAUUCAAGACGGUGUAUCAUAGAACGGUAGAUUUAGCAUCAAAAUUAUCAUGAAACUACAUAUUUAAGUGAAGCAUCACAAAACUAUAAACUUAAUACUAAAUUUAUCAUUAAACUAUAUAUUUAAGUGGAGCAUGGCAAAAUUAUAGGAUCAAUUUAAUCAUAAAAAAUGCAAUGUUUAUAAAACCAAGGGGACAGUGGAUCUAGGGCUCAAGAUCUGAAUUUUUUUUAUCGGAUGUCUCCGAAGAGACAAAUCUGUAGUUUUUUAAUAUAUAAUUUAUCACUAAAUUUGUAGUUUUGUAUAAAUUCAAUGUUAAAUUUUUAGUUUUGUGAUACAUCCUUUUAAUAUAUAUAGUUUUGUGAUAGUUUGAUUGAAGUAUAUAAUUUUUUAAAAAUAUGAUCAGUUUCAAAUGACGCGGUAUAAUAUAUAAUUUAUCACUAAAUUUGUAGUUUUGUAUAAAUUCAGUGUUAAAUUUUUAGUUUUGUGAUACAUCCUUUUAAUAUAUAUAGUUUUGUGAUAGUUUGAUUGAAGUAUAUAAUUUUUAAAAAUAUGAUCAGCUUCAAAUAACGCAGUAUAGUACUACCUCUGUAACAAAUUAAAACAUGUCGUUUCAGGUAUGUUUUAAUUUAAACUUAUAAAAAUUUAAGCAUCAAUAUCUUGUAAAUAUUCAGAUUAAAUGCAUGCUAAAUUGCAAAUCAUACAUUUAGUUCCACUUCCACCAAAAGUACUUUCUUAUUGUUAUAAUUUUAGUAGGUUAGACAAAUAUCUCAUAAUACACAUCAGAUAUGUAUUUGUGAAAUUUGGAUUAAAAAACAUAUCAUAACAUAAAUUUGUGAUCAAAUUUCAUUUCUAAGACUGCAUCCAGUGCAGGACAACAUGUUUUUAUGACCAGAAGUAUCUCCGACGCGCGAGAUCGAUCGGCUGCUCAAGCCCCACAUUACCAUUAACCACAACAACUAAUAAUUAAUUAGGCCACCAACACCAUGUGCCAGCUAGGCCAUGAAAAUGAAAACCCCCAAAAGUACACCAAAAGGGCCCCCCACACCACACAAAACCGGUACUGGGAACUGGGAAAAAUUCUGUUUAACAGUCCGGAUUGACAUCCACCCGCUGCAGUCAUUUGCAUCUUAGCUCUUGUAGUUUGACUCUUCUGUGUUGCUACUUCCAUUCUAAAAUAUGCUAAUCUUCGUCCCAAAUAUAAAAAAAUAAUAUCAGAUAGAAUGUAUUCUAAUAUUACGAAUCUAGAUAAACACUAUGACCAAAUUCGUAGUAUUAAGAUAUGUCUCAUCCAGUUCUAAAUUCUUAUAUUUUAGGAUAAAGGGAGUGAUAACUUUUAACUUUUGACAUAACUAUUGAAAAAUGAUAGAAAUACUUAUUUAUUUUCUCAGGAAUAGAUAACUUAAUUAUAACCUUGAACUCUAAUAAAGACUAGUGAUAAAAGGAUAGUAUUGGGUAGUUUAGUGAUAAAAAUCAUCUUUUACAAGUACUAGGUUACUCCAAAAUUAUUAUAUUUCGAGACGGAGAGAGUAUUAAUAUAGCAAGAGGACAUUGCAAUGGCAAUACAACAAUGCACACACACUGUCAGUUGUCAAAUCCCCUUGGCCAUUGGGACCCCAUGGCCCUAAGCUUUGCAAACAUGCAAGAUCACUUCAGUUUUUUUUUUUCCAAGCAUAGAGAGAAGCCAAGGGGAUGAGGAGAUUCCCCAUGGCUCCAACUCAGAUCGGCUGUCUCCCAAUCUGCUUGGCACCCCGGCAUGAUUUGGAUAUGACCUGCGGCCAACUGCUCCAUGUCCAUUAAAUCCUUCCUUCCUUUCUACUUCUUCUCCCUAGUAGAGGUGGUGCAAAUCGGUGCGUCUAAAAUAUAUGAAAUUCAAAGGAAACAAUCAUCUUUCAUGUAAAAGAAUAUAAUUGGGAUAUAAUUUUUUUCACCGUGAGUUUGUGAUGAUUUGCUCGAGAACGAUAUCAUUUCUACAUCAACGAUUCUUGGUCCGUGAUAUAUUUUUUUUCAUAUUUACCAAGUCAACUAAUGAUUUAUUUAGUGACAACUAUAAUAUGGUAGUGAUAGAUUCUUUUUUUUUAAUUUUUUUUAAUCUUUGGCUAAAAUAAAAAAUAUUACCACUUCUACAUAAAUGAUGCUCGGUCAAGAAAUUUUGCCACCGUUCUCAUCCCUAUUUGAUUGGCUUGCACUCACUAGAACCCAUGAAAAAUUUGUGGUGGCUGUGUCCAGCCAGGGUCAAUGCUAAGUCAAUUUGGAAAUCUGGAAUGGAAUGGAAUGCAUGAGCAAGAGCAUGAGGCUUUUCCGCCUUGAGUAAAUUUUGCCAAAGCCCACAUUUUAUUAAUGAUGUUUAACUUUGGAUCACCUUUUAAUCAUUGUUUUCAUUUUGGAUCGUAUAAACUUAUUUUUGCUUUACUUUAGACCACCCAACUCUCUUAUCAAACUAUAAACGAUCUCGAGUACCUCUGUGUUCUUACUCGUCAAUGAACUCUAGCAGCUAUAUGUAAGACUAUUUCUUUGACAUAUGACAAGUUGAAUGUAUAUAGAUAAAAUAGUUGAGGACCGGUGGUUUAAAGUGCCAUAAAGGUAUAAAUAUCCAGUCCAAAAUAAAAACAUUGGUUAAUCCAAAGUAAAAAAAAUCAGUAAUAAAAUAUGAUCCAAAGUGAAAUUUACUCUCUAGCCUUCUUGGUGCUGGAGAUAGACAGUGGUCCAUGUUUAAAGGCUAUGCCGUGGGCCAUGGGAACCAGGGAGAAACAGGUGCUGCACGCCUUUGACAACACGAAGGAGACCAAUCCGGUUUGUGUGGAUCAGAUGAUCAAGUGCUGGUGUAUACUUUGGCUUGGCAAUUAUCGGAAAUAAUGAACUAAUUCACUUGGCUUGUCUAUAUUUAGAUUGUUAAUGUUAUUAUAUAUAAAUGAAUGUAGAUUGAUACUCAAUUUAAUACUCCCAGCGUCAAAUAAAAGUGAUAGAAAGGAGUACAUUUAAAAAAAAUUGUAGAUUGGCAUUUUAAUCAUAUACUUUCUCCAUCCAUAAAACGAUCUCUAAGUUUAAAUCUGAAUAUAUAGGUCAUCUCUAGAUUCAGAUUCAGAAGUUCUUUUUAAUGAAAGGUGUAUAUGAGUGGAUGCAGAGUCAGGAAGGAUGAUGCAGCUAAUUAUGAAUUAUGAAGACUAAUAAUAAGACAAAAGUAGAUAGUUAAAUAUGAGAUAUUUGACCGAUUGAUGCAAGUAGUAAAAAUUUUAGUUCAUAUUUUAUUGAAAAUUAUAUGUAGGACCCUCCAAAUGCAAACUUCUCUAAUCCUAGAAAGUACCAAUUGUCUGCUUCUGAAAUAUAUAUAUCUACAGGGUGGCAGAAUAUCAAUGACUGAAAUGUCAAUUUAAAUGAUGGCAAACGACCUAUAGGGUGGCAGAAUACAAGUACUAACUAGUGGCUUUGGUAACAAGAGUAUACACACGUUGCUUUGGACAUGUCUUUGGUUUAAGCUUUUGAAUGGUUGAGUAUAUAUAUGCUUUACAUGGAUUGGAUAUAUAAAGUUUGCAUGUGUGUACACUUGAUCCCGCCCCCACCCCCAAAAUAACAACAAAAUAUAAAUCCAUUGACCUUUUGUAGUCAAUAAAAAUCUACGGUCAUAGUUGUAUUUUGAACACCAAGUUAUUGUCAAAGCGACAAGUAUUCCUCACCAAAGGUAGCAUUACUUAAUGCAUAUUAGCGUGCCCUUUAUGAAAAACAUUCAUAUGCACCUAAGCUUAUUAACAGAGAAGUGUUCAUGAAUUUGAUGAGCCCACUUAUAGAUAAACAAGAAUUAGAACCAUUUUCACAAUAUGUACUUUUUAAAACAACCUACAUACUGAUUCGGUGAAAUUGAGACCAAUCCAGGUAUAUCAAAACAACAUACAGUGUCAUAAAAGGAGAAGACCCAUGUCCAUGUAUGUGCCUAGACUCAAGUGGAUAGAAACAACUGAUGCUGUUGCAAGUCUUUUGGAGCACAUAUAUCCAACUCAAUAAGUUGAUUUUUGGCAGGUUCAAAGAAGUCCAUGCGCAUGGGACAACGAAAACCAUGUGGCCCACAGAAGUGAGCUUUGCACGAAUCUUGAAGCCCCCUGGCAUCUUCAGUUUGUCUACCCAACAAAAUCCUAGCUAGCUAACAUGUAGCAUGGGUCUAUUGUGUACAAUGGCAUGCAUGCUCCUUUAUCCUUCUUUGAAUUUUAGAAUUUCCUUCCUUGCUACUCUUAUAUUUUUGGAUUUAUCCAAUUCUCACUAGCUCUAGCUACUCCCUAUGUACAGGGUUUCAAUUAUUUAUAUCGCGAAACUUGCUCGUUUUCUAAAAACAGGGAAGACUAUACGGAAACAAACAUGGUAUGACAAAGAGAAAAGCAUGUACGAUACAAUAUAGUAAAAAUUACUGAAAUUUGGUUUUUUUUUUUAAUCGGCCACCAAUAUUCUAUAUGUUGAGCAUUGCGGAAACGAUCAAACCCCUCUAAUUCGAACCAUGCAUGUUUGAUGAGGAAAACACAAGCAAAAGUGAGAGUACAUCGUACUACUUGUGUCUUUCAAUUGUCUAUGGUGUUUAGUUCCCUUUAAACUUCCAAAAAUUCCGUCACAUCAAAUGUUUGGACAUAUGCAUAGGAGCAUUAAAUAUAGACGGAAAAAAAAUCAAUUGCACAGUUUGUAUGUAAAUCGCGAGACAAAUCUUUUGAGCCUAAUUACGCCAUGGUUUGACAAUGUGGUGCUACAGUAAAUAUUUGCUAAUGAUGGAUUAAUUAGGCUUAAUAAAUUCGUCUCUCAGUUUAUAGGCGGAAUCUGUAAUUUGUUUUGUUAUUAGUCUAUGUUUAAUACUUCAAAUGUGUGUCCGUAUACUUAAAAAUCUUUUUGACAGGGAACUAAACACGGCCUAUGCUUGACAAGAAAAAGAACAUAAGCGAAUGUGAGGUUACAUAAAUACUAGUUGGGUCUUUCAGUUGUCUAUGCUUGAAAAGAAAAACAUAAGCUAAGUACUAGUUGGGUCAAAAGUCUGAGGUUAGCUAAAGCAACAUAGAAAAAAAGAAUAAAAAGGGAAAGAAUUGAAAGGUGCAAUAGGAUUCUCAGUUAAUAACCCAACUUGAAGUUUACGUGGAUGAAUUAUUCCUACGUUAUAUUACUAAGUUAUCUAUAUAUACAAUUUCACCAAAUUUGGAUUGAUCCUUGUUGCUAAACUAGCAUUUAAGAACCGCUUUAAACAUAAAUACUUCCAAAAAGGACAUUUCAAAAUACCCGCCAAAACUUAAUUCGUAUUACACAACACGUCGAUCGUUAAAAAAAAACACUCAACUAUCCUAUAAAAAUACAAACACCAACAUUUCACACGACGCAAAUAAUAUAACUAUAAAACCACAAAACCAGUUCCUUGCAAAACUCUAUCAUCAUCGUCGUCGUCAUUAUCAUCGUCACCGUGGAUGAGCCGAAGCUGAUAGGAGGAGUGAGGAUACACAAGCAACUGAUGCCACACCAUUGGCCACCCCCAAGGCAUGGAGCACAACACUCCCUUUUGACUUCUAUUUAAAUUAAAUUAAUCAAUUAAUUACAUAAAACCUCACCCCUACACAAAAAAAACAUUAACCCAAAAGAACCCCCAAAAAAAUUAAACCUAAAAACACCCAAACGAAAACGAAAAAAAAAAAAAACACCAACACCACCCCCUCUCUAAUCAACCCCGUUCCCUACCCCAACCUCCACCCAAACCCCAACCCGCCCCCCUCACACCCACGUGGGCCCCACCAACCCCUGGCCCCACCCGUCAGCGAGCGGCAGCGUACGCCACCCGCGUGGCCGUGCCUUUCCCCUAAUCAAAUCCAGCGGAUAUUUUUGACGUCCGCGUCUCGCCAUUUUCUCCUCCCUCUCUCUCUCUCUCUCUCCUCCGUUUUUGUUUUUGUUUUCUUUUUCUUCUUUCUCUCUCCUCCUCCUCCUCCUCUCUUCCUCUCCGCAGAGGAGAAAACCAAAUCCCAUCGCGAAGGCGAGAGAGAGAGAGAGAGAGAAGAAAAAAAGCGAGAGGAGUAAUAAACUCGCGAGGUUUUAUUUUAUUUUAUUUUAUUGUGUAAAUUUGGCCCACGGCGGCGGCGGCGGAGUUGGCGGCGGCGGCGGGGCUAAACCCUAGCCGAAGUGGCGGUGCCGGUGGUGGGCGGCGGCAGCGGCGAUUUGGCGGGUGGACGAGCUCCGGAUCGCCGGAUUCGUGGCGGGGAGGUGAGUGCGUGGAGUUUGUGGCGGUGUGCUUGUGUUGUUGUUGUUGGUGGUGGUGGUGGUGAGGUGUGAGGUGAGGUGGGGUGGCUUGCUGCUGUUGCUGUUGCUGCUGCUGCUGCUGCUUCUGGUGCUAAAUUUUGCGCGGGUUUGCGGGGUUGGGAGGCGAGGGAUGCGAUCUGGGGGGUGUUCGGGGAGCUCGGCGUUGCUUAAUUCCGCUGAUGGUUUCUGCGCGUGUUUCUUCGUUUUCGGGGUGGAUUCGGUGGUGGUUUUGUUGCGCUCGGUGUUGUUGUUGCGGGAGGGGGAGGUUGGGUUUGGUGCUCGCUGGUGCUGGUUUUCGGUUGGCUUUUUGGGCGAUGGAGUUUGACACAGUAGAUUUGUUCUGGUAAUGGUGGUGUAGAUCCCGUGGUUGUGUUCUGAGGUUGCAAUCUGUGGUUUGUUUUCAGGGGGAUGACCGCUUGUUCUUGCUCAAUUCCGGUGGAUCUUACGGUGGAAGGAUGGCGAGCUGAGUGAAGGCGCGCGUGAUCUUGCAGCGGUUUGUGCGGGGGAGGUUUGGAGCACUUUGUCAUUGCCGGCAAGGAUGGUGCCGUCGGGGCCGCCGAACCCGAUGGGUCCUGGGCAGCCGGUUGGCGCGGCCUCGUUGCUCAGGACGAGCUCCAGCCUGCUCAGCGGCGGCCAGCAGGGGAUGGGCAGUGGCGGAGGCAUGCUUCCUUCGCAGUCGCCCUUCUCGUCCCUCGUGUCGCCGCGCACGCAGUUUGGUGCUAAUGGCCUGCUGGGAGGUGGCUCCAAUGUUUCCUCCCUGCUCAACCGGCCGUUUGGGAAUGGGGGACAUAUGCUCGGUCCGGGGUCGAUGCCAGGUGGUGGUGGGCUUCCAAUGAAUACCCUCCAGCAGCAGAGAGGAGGGCUUGAUGGUGCUGGCGAUUUGGUUGGCGCGGGAGGUUCUGAUUCUCUCUCGUUCCCUUCAUCGUCGCAAGUUAGUUUGGGCAAUCAGCUGGGUUCAGAUAAUCUGCAUCCACCACCGCAACAUCAGCAGCAACAACAACACCUGGAUGCUAUGCAGGACUUGCAGCACCAGCAUCAGCAUCAGCAGCAACUGCCAAUGUCUUACAACCAACAACAGUUGCCACCGCAACCGCCACAGCAGCCGCAGGCUACAGUGAAGUUGGAGAAUGGUGGCAGCACAGGUGGGGUCAAAUUGGAACCGCAGAUGGGGCAGCCUGACCAGAAUAGCACAGCCCAGAUGAUGCGCAAUGCUAGCAAUGUUAAAAUUGAGCCGCCGCAGUUGCAAGCUUUGAGGAGUUUGAGUGCGGUGAAGAUGGAGCAGCAGAGUUCAGACCCAUCAGCAUUCCUGCAACAGCAACAGCAGCAGCAACAUUUGCUGCAGCUGACAAAGCAGAAUCCUCAAGCUGCUGCGGCAGCUCAACUGAACCUUUUGCAACAGCAACGGAUAUUGCAAAUGCAGCAACAACAGCAGCAACAACAACAGAUUCUAAAGAAUCUGCCUUUGCAGAGAAACCAAUUACAACAGCAACAACAGCAGCAGCAGCAACAGCAGCAGCUACUUCGCCAACAGAGUCUAAACAUGAGAACUCCAGGAAAAUCGGCUCCUUAUGAGCCAGGAACCUGUGCAAAGAGAUUGACUCAUUACAUGUAUCAUCAACAAAACAGGCCACAGGUAAGUUUUCGGCUUUUUCCAAACAAUUAAUUUAGUGUAUAGUGAAGGCCAUGGGCUUACAGUUUUGUGUCUCUACUUGUUCCUUUUGAUGCAGGAUAACAAUAUCGAGUACUGGAGAAACUUUGUCAAUGAGUAUUUUUCUCCAAAUGCUAAAAAAAGGUGGUGUGUAUCUCUCUAUGGAAGUGGUCGUCAAACUACUGGAGUUUUCCCUCAGGUUUCAUGAGCCGUUGCUGACUUGUCAUUUUUUAAAUCUGGAAUAUCCAUUCUGUUUUUCAUAUAUUUCAUUAAUGCUUCUGGUCUAUUAUUUUAAUUGGCAGAUGUGAAGUAGCGCCUCAUAUUUUUAAUUUCCUUUCAAAUUAUUCGUUAAAGAUUUCUAUAUUUGCCCUUGUAGGAUGUAUGGCAUUGUGAGAUAUGCAAUCGGAAGCCUGGGCGAGGCUUUGGUAAGCAUCAUUUUAAUUUGCACAUGUUUCUCUGUUAAUCUGCUUUUUACAUCCACUUACGUGACUACCUUAACAGAGACCACCGUUGAGGUGUUACCACGAUUAUGCCAAAUUAAAUAUGCCAGUGGUACAUUGGAAGAAUUACUAUAUGUCGACAUGCCACGUGAAUCGCAGAAUGCCUCUGGUCAGAUUGUUUUGGACUAUACCAAAGCAAUCCAGGAAAGUGUCUUUGAGCAGUUGCGUGUGGUACGCGAAGGACAUCUAAGGAUAGUUUUUAAUCCUGAUCUCAAGGUAUUAUAUUUUUUUUGAUUUUUUUUUGUCACUGGUGGUCCUUUAAAGUUGCUGGUAUGAUAAAUGGCGCCUUUUUGACUAAAGCAUGUUUCCUUUUAUUGAAGAUCGCUUCUUGGGAGUUUUGUGCAAGGCGUCACGAGGAGCUUAUUCCACGUAGAUCAAUAAUCCCACAGGUAUUUAGCCCUUUCACUGUAUGCAUAUUUUUAUUCAAGUCAGAUGUCUCAUUUUGAUAUUCUGAAUUUUGGGCAAAACGGGAAAGGGUUUAAUAUAUUUUGGAACCCUCGGUGUUCUAUGCAGGUUAGUCAACUGGGCGCAGUUGUGCAAAAAUACCAGAGUGCUGUUCAAAAUUCGACAAAUUUGUCAACUCAAGACAUGCAGAAUAAUUGCAACUCGUAAGGAGACUGUCUCUGAUGCACACAAUACUUUCCAUCUUCAGUGUGUUGCAAAAUCAUUAAUGCUUUAUCCACCUUGUUCCUACAUGCAUAUUUUUGUGUUCUUCUGAAAUCUAUCUUAUUAGCAAAGAAGCUAGCGUGUCUACUCAUGUAAAUACUUUUUUAACUCAAUACUAGCAUGAACUGCCUUGCAAAAUGGGACGUAGCCACUGUGUCAUCCUUCGAGUUUAGGGCCAACCAGCCAAGCUGUAAAAAUAGUUAAAUACUAUUCAUGGCCUAACCAUUUAGAUCCUAUGGCUGUUGUGGUUGAUUUGGUUAGCAUAUGGCCUUUGACAACCAUACCAUAUCAGCAGGAUGUAGGCCACAUAGUGAUGGAUUGGGUUGGAUUGGUUGAUCAUCCUUAGGGUCGGCUUGGCGGCAGUGGAGUGGCUUCAACUCAUUAGCAGGUCCACUUGCAGAUUGGUCUCUACAGCAUUACAACUGGUGUUAGGAUUGCACCCCGGUUAGAAUUAUUUAUUACCUCUUUUGAGGUGGGGUGAUAUUGUGCUUAAGGCAUGGUUGUCAAGUCGUUACUACUAGUAUUAGGCUGCACUGAGUAGGUGCAAAAAUAGUUCUCUGAGACUAAGUCUGUGUUUAGACUAUCCUCAACAUGACAGGUGGCAUAAUCGCCAUGUACAAGUAGUUAAUUUUAGUGUAUGUUAGUGCUUUGAGGAUGGGUCUAAAGUCUAAACAGAGACCUGGUCUCUAGGAUAGGUUUAGUGGGCCAUUUUUUCCUUUUUCAUUGUUCUUUUUACUGGCUUUAGUUGGUAUAUGAUGGAUUUCACUGAAUAUAACUACUGUUAGAUGCUGACUAGGCACCUGCCUAGUGUCCAAGUGCCCCCAAAGUGCCAGAAGACACAGUGCUGUGCGAAUGGCAUGAGCCUUAAAUACGUGGUAUUCUGGUCCACUGGUUGAGUUCAACAUGUCAUGGUAGUUAUGUACUGUACUCUGUGGUGUAGGCAGUCCUGCUUGUAGUACACUAUUGAAUUACUGAAUUACAUGCACAAGUCACCUUUUUUGUGCGAGACCAGGAUUUGAACCCUGGUUGGUAGAUUCUCACUGGAAGGCAUUUACCACCAUGCUACAAGCACAUUUGCCUCAACAUCUUGAAUGACUUGAAACUUUUUAGAAAUCAAGCAAUAAACUGGAUAGAAGGUCCUUCAUGGCUACAUGCAUACAUCGUUUAUUCAUGUAGUAGAUGGUAUUUUACUUGUUUGAAAUGUUCCGUGGAAAUCUCAUUUGUUUCUUUUCUAAUUGGAUCUCAGGCAAAUUAUGCCUGAUAAGAAAGUUACAACUAUUGAGGAGCACCUACAGUGGUCUAGUUAGAAGGCAAGUUAUUGUCACAGUAUAAGCAGCAUUAUCCAAAGACUACAGCGUAAUAUGUAGAAUCAACAUAUUUUGUGUUACAUAUUCUGCAUGUUUGACAUGUACGUUGACCCAUAUGGGUGAAAUAUUUAUUAAAAUAUAUAGUUGAGGCUACAGAAUGAGAUGUUUUUAAAAACAUGCUUCUUUCAAUGCCACUGUAGUAUGCGAAGGAGUUGCACGAAACAAAGUGGUGGGUAUAACCACUGAUUUUUUGAAGGUUUGCUACCCAGUGUUUUUGGUUUAGUUUAGCUCACUGACUAUCCUCCAAAAAGGUUAAGCUUCCAGGGGAACACUGACCAUUUAUUCACAUCCAGGCUCAUCUCAGGCCUACGAUGUGGAUGUUUAGAUGAUGUUGGGAUGUGUGUACAGAAAAACUAUAAGCGUAAAGCAUUCUGGAUCUAUGGGUGUAUGGUUAUUCUUACUGUUCUAGCACCGUGUGUUCUUUUACUAUGAUAGGGGAGAUGGAUAAUUUAUGUAUACUUAAGAGUUUCCAUAAAAGGGGACCUUAAUCCAUUUCUGAGAUCUUUUUGAAGUACAAGAAUAUAGUAUGCAUGAUUUGCUCAUCUGGUACAUCUGAUGGAACACAUCUAAUUAAACACGAUCCAAUUAUUACAUUGGGGAUGUGACUGUAUCAUGGUGAAUUUGGAACAGCGGAAUAAUUACAUUAAAAUGCUGUUGCUACAGAAGAUAGUGUUUUAGUGGUAGGUAUCUUGGAGACUCGGAUUACACACAUGGUGCUGGAUAUUACGGUGGCAUGCCCAAGCAGAUGUUUCACAUGUGAUCUGUUUAUCAUCUGAUUAUUUUCCUCUGUAGAGAAGUCACCAUCUAUUGACAAAAAAAACAAUUGUUGUUGUUUUUUAAGUUACGACCAAAUAGUUGGGAGUCCUUAAAGAAGAGGUGGUGAUGGAGUGUGCUCUACAACUUUUUCUUCACUUUCAGAUCUUUCAAGCGUGCACUUGAAGGAUCUUUUUGCAUUUGAGGAUUCUUUUUUGCUUUUUUUCACUUUAGUGCUUUUGGUAUGUUUGCUUCCGAACAUUAUUUUGCUUCUUUAAUAAAUUAUAUGUCACAGAAAAACUUAUGAGGGUAGACCAAUUUGUGCCUUUUAGGGCUCACUUUCCUUUUUCACUGUUGUUUAUGUACCAAGUCUGUUGAUUUUGUUUUUCUGUUUGAUUCUUUUUUGGGAUAAUUGACAUUUGAGUACUGCAAAUUGUACUUAUUUUUCAAUCUUUUACUAUUAGGUUUGUUGCAUGUGCCCGCCAAUUGGCUAAAGCACUGGAGGUGCCUUUGGUAAAUGAUCUGGGAUACACAAAACGAUAUGUGCGCUGCCUUCAGGUACACUUAUACAUGGUUCUGUUUUUAUUCACCUGUUCUGUAUUUCUACAUCCAACAAAUUUAGAUUAUUGUCAUAUGCAAAAGUUGGUAUUUUUUACAUAGGACUAUUAUCAUUCUUUGUUGUGGGCCUUUGGCACCUGUUGCCAUUCUCUAUUUCGUUAAACUAAUUUAUCUGACCUAUUGUUUUGUCAUCCAAAACAUUGAUACUUCCAGAUUGCUGAGGUGGUAAACUGUAUGAAAGAUUUGAUUGAUUAUAGCAGGCAAAAUGGGUCUGGACCAAUUGGUACGCCAUUUUUAUCUUCUGUUUACUAUGCAGUCUCAUCUGAUCUCAUGUCAUCUUGUUUAGCAUCAAGUAAUCUUCACAUAUUGUAUGAUCAUCCACUUGUACUCCUACAGCUCCUUCAUUUGUUUUCUUUUGAUUGUACAUUCUAUUCACCAUUUUUUAUCAAGACAAGUUUCCAGGCCGUACAAUUUUUGUUCAUGCCCCCAGUCCCCCAAAUUUGGUUGUUUAAUUAAUAAGGAAGUAACAUGCUGUUAUUGAUCUGUCACAACUUUCAACCUGUGACUAAGAUGUGUUUGAAAUGAGACAGUUGAUAGAGGGCUGAUUUCCUGUAUUUUCCUAGUUGCCUUUUCUCCAGAUCUUUAUUCAUUUUUUUUUGUUUAUUCAACCUUCAAUAAAACAUGUGAAAUGAGCUUAUUCUGAAAUACCUUAUAAAUACCCCAAACUGGUGGCUCUCUGACUAUAAUAUUAGGAUGACUGAACUGGCUCCCUUGCUGAUUUUUACUCCUAGCCAAAGAACAUGGUAGUCUGUUGCUAUAGUGUUAACUGUAUUUUACAGCCUUAUUAAUGUUACCACUUGUUUUGUGCAUAUUUAACAUCUACUACUAUUAAUUGUUUCAGCUAGUUUGCAUAGCUUUCCUCGGAGGACUUCAUCAGGAGGGGUAAACCCUCAACAGUCACAGCAGCAACAGCCUGAAGAACAGCAAUCUAUCCCGCAGAGUUCAAACCAGAGUGGUCAAAAUGCUGCUCCCAUGACUGGUGUGCAGGCUUCUGCCUCUGCAAAUGCAGAUGUGACAUCAAAUAAUUCUCUCAGCUGUGCACCCUCAACGUCUGCACCUUCACCGUCCGUUGUUGGGCUCCUCCAAGGUUCAAUGAACUCUAGACAAGAUCAUCCAAUGAGCAGUGCUAAUGGUCCAUAUACCAGUGGAAACAGUGCUGCAAUUCCCAAGGUGAACUCGACAACCUCACUGCAGUCAACUCCAUCUACCUCUUUUCCUUCACCAGUGCCAACAACAUCCAAUAACAACAUGAUGCCUGCCCCUCAGAACACAAACCAACUCAGCUCCCCAACCGCAUCAUCAAACCUACCGCCAAUGCAGCCACCUGCUACUCGACCUCAGGAGCCUGAUCCAAAUGAGUCCCAAAGCUCGGUUCAGAGAAUAUUGCAAGAUUUGAUGAUGUCACCGCAGAUGAAUGGUGUUGGCCAGCUUGGGAAUGACAUGAAAAGACCGAACGGACUUACAUCUAGUGUUAACGGAGUUAAUUGUUUAGUUGGUAAUGCUGUUACAAAUAACUCAGGAAUGGGAGGAAUGGGGUUUGGGGCCAUGGGUGGGCUUGGUCCAAAUCAUGCAGCUAGUGGAUUGAGAACUGCAAUAGCGAACAAUGCGAUGGCAAUUAGUGGUAGGAUGGGAAUGAAUCACAGUGCACAUGACCUAUCACAGUUGGGCCAACUACAGCAGCAACAGCAACAUCAACAUCAACAUCAACAUCAACAUCAACAGCAACAGCAGCAGCAGCAGCAGCAGCAACAUGACUUAGGAAACCAACUGUUGAGUGGACUUAGAGCAGCAAACAGCUUCAAUAACCUUCAGUAUGACUGGAAACCAUCUCAAUAAAGAUAGAACAUUACAAGUUUGAUAUGACGACGUGGCUGCUCUCACUGGGUUCAUUGCUUAUGGAGCACAAGUAACAGUGCCGACACCUCGAACUGUGUCAAAGCAUUUGGUCUUUGCAAUAAUGCUGUCAUGGAAAAAGGAAUCAUUCGCGACAGCAAAGCAUCUGAGCCCUGUCAACUGUAUGUUGUAACUGUUCGUUUAGCUGCUUGUGUAUUGUGCAACUAUGGCAUUUUGCUGCCUGCUUCAGUUGUCUUACUGAAAGAUAGAGUUAAAAGGAUUAGAGCCUUGCCUUGCAUCUGCCACCAUCCUUGAUGGUACGGUGUUACUCCUUACCCGGAAAAGAAGUUUUCCCUCCCUUUUUUUCCAUGUCAGAUGACAUCCGAUAUGUAAUUUAUCAUCCCCUCCGCCUUCCACCCUUAGCAAGCAUAUGUGCUGAUAUCUUUCUUUGCCUAAGGAUUCUCUCUCUUUGUAGCCUUACUUGACUUUGUAUAAGCUGCCAUAAUUUAGUAGUGGAAAAAGUAUCAGGAAUGUUUUCGUAGGCUUUGUCGCGAGAUUCGACUGGCAAGAAAACUGGCAUUCUUUCUUGAUUUUACCGAAAGAUUUCAGCCAUUGUGGUGGAUAUUUUUCUUGAAAUAUUCAGGUUGACCUGUCCAUCUGGUUUCAACCAGUGUGGUGGAG
Molecule: long non-coding RNA, 20482 nt
Filed under: Oryza sativa (Asian cultivated rice)
Lineage: Eukaryota; Viridiplantae; Streptophyta; Magnoliopsida; Poales; Poaceae
Description: long non-coding RNA (OSAT_LNC001936)
Source: RNAcentral